UGAGUAACACGUAUCCAACCUGCCGUCUACUCUUGGACAGCCUUCUGAAAGGAAGAUUAAUACAAGAUGGCAUCAUGAGUCCGCAUGUUCACAUGAUUAAAGGUAUUCCGGUAGACGAUGGGGAUGCGUUCCAUUAGAUAGUAGGCGGGGUAACGGCCCACCUAGUCUUCGAUGGAUAGGGGUUCUGAGAGGAAGGUCCCCCACAUUGGGGACUGAGACACGGCCCAGACUCCUACGGGAGGCAGCAUG
RNAcentral lists this ribosomal RNA (249 nucleotides) under uncultured bacterium. RNAcentral's name for it is "partial 16S ribosomal RNA". It matches the Rfam family "Bacterial small subunit ribosomal RNA", at positions 107 to 353 of the family's 1533-position model. The record is from RNAcentral.